AUGAAACACCCUCCCUCUGCCCCCAUAUUUCGCUUCGAGAUGUUCUGGCUUAACCAGAACGGUUUCGUUGAGGCUGUGCGCGGCCGCCUGGAAGCCCGCCUUGCAUCUCACCGAUCCAUCUCGGCGGUGGAUGACUGGCACUUCUGCGCCAAGCGCGCCCGUCAGUUCAUGAAGGUCUGGGGCGCGAAUCUCGGAAGGGACCUCCGUCUCCGCAAAAAGGCCCUCCUUGACUCCAUUCAGGCCCUGGAUCUUCGGGCCGACUCGGUGGGCCUCUCUCCUGACGAGUGGAUGCAGCGUUAUGACCUUGAAGACCAGCUUAUGGUCAUAUACACCGACGAGGAGGCGUAUUGGCGCCUUCGAGGUACCCAAAAGUGGGUUCUCCAGGGUGACGCCAACACCGCCUACUUCCAGGCAAUCGCCAAUGGCCGGCGGCGACGUAAUACCAUUCCCCUUCUGUGGGAUGGCGCGACGCUCCUCCAGCGGCCCGCUGACAUCCGUGCUCAUGUUGACGGCUUCUAUCGAGCUUGUUUGCAGCCCCCCUAG
This 543-nucleotide ribosomal RNA is filed under the name Triticum aestivum (bread wheat). RNAcentral describes it as "partial small subunit ribosomal RNA". The record is from RNAcentral. Lineage: Eukaryota; Viridiplantae; Streptophyta; Magnoliopsida; Poales; Poaceae.